CACACACGGGCUUGCACUUGCAGUCAUUUGUUUCCUGGGGCCUCCUUGGGUAGUAGUAAGUGCCCUGUUAAGGGAGCAAGAGCACAGGACUCAGAUUCAAGUACUGAAUUCUGUUGGUUCUUAGAUGAUAAGCCCUAAAUAGGAUUCCAAGACCAGCAACUGCAGCUCCCAAUUCUUACCCUCUUCCUCCUCCUCUCUACCACGACACAUAUCCCAGAGUUCUUUACUUCUGGUUUCUACCAGCCCUUGUCCUAAUGAAGAAGCCUCCAAGUCUGCAAUGAAUAGUCCUGUGUUCAUGUGAAGAUCUCCGGGUAAAAGGGAAGCUUUCUUUGCAAGAGUUUCACUGGAAUGGACAGACAGACGGACUCGGUGUGGCUGGGCCUUUGAUAGCCAAGAACACAAGAUUUGACUUCAGGGGGCUCAGAAACUUCAUCAGCCAAGGAGGAGGAUGCAGAGUAUGGGAAGGAUCCUGCUGAAACAACUCUUUGAAACCCCGCCCCCCCCCCCCCCCCCCCAGUGAUGUUUGAUGUGCCUUGUUGCCUUUUAGCCAAAGCUGUACCUUUGGCAUCAAAACUACCUUUUGAAAAAAAAAAUUAGCUGUAUUUUAGGGCACAGAAAGUGUAAAUUUAAUAUUAAGUCUUAAUGGGGAAAGUCUUUGAAAAGGUAUUUCUGGGCCUGGGAUCAUUUAUUACCUCUCCUGAUCUAGCAACACAAGUUCUUCUCUAUCCACAGCCCCCCUUUAAUUCCUAAUCCCCCUCUUUCUCAAUCCCGGGCCUCUGUGAUGGCAGGUCAGGGCACAGUGUUCCAUGGGGAGCAGUGACUUCCAGCAAAUGCCUCCGCCCCACCUGUCAGUUUCCGAGUUUCACUCUUGGUGUUAAAGGGGGUAGUCCAGGCUGGCAGCGAGGUACCCACAGACCUGCUGGUAUUGACAGCUAGAGCUGCAGUCUGGUUGCCUCAGAGAGGACAGAGCACUCAGGGUCCAGAGGGACUUCAUGGAGAGAUGGACAAGUAGUUGCUGAUAGAUCAUGGACCCCCUGGGGCCCAGGCUGGUCAGAACACAAAUGACUUUCUAAGCUCUUGCCUCAGGAGCCCCUCAAUCCUUCCUUCUCUGGAGCAGAACAGCUAGUACCAAGGACAGCUCUGUCCAUUCUCUGUGCUCUGACUGGUGAGUUGGAGUUAAGGGAGACUUCUCAGUUAAAAAUGAGCUUAAAUGCCUGGGAAGGAGUACCAUGCCCCUGGAAACAGGAUCCAGCAUCCAGACAAGGCAAUUCCACUGUAUGGAAGGACUCACAGACUUGCUCUGUGGGUGUGUGGGGACACUCCCUGAGAACCCUGAGGUCGUGUUUAGUGCGGUGAGAGGAUUCAUGGGGAGCCCUGUGGCUUGACCAUCUUAGAUACCAUCACGUCUGGUCUAAAUUGUCGCUUCCUCAUCCCCAGCCACCCACUCCUCCUCUAGUUUUAAUGAACGUUUCUGAGUGCCAUUCUCUACAUAUCAAUCCUUGACAUAGGACCUCCCACGGCUCCCUAGUUCCUUUGUAAUAAAGUCACCUCACCCUGGAAACUGAGGUCUUCAACCAGCUCACCCUGCUGCCUUCCCUCUGCUGUUCCUUGCCAUACCCCUGUGUUUGCUGCCUCAUCUGCUCAUAUUCUUUCUUCUUUGCCUGGCAAAUGCCUGCGCUCUGACCAGGUCC
Peromyscus eremicus (cactus mouse) is the source of this 1691-nucleotide long non-coding RNA. RefSeq lists it as uncharacterized. The record is from RefSeq and is a predicted model, not a curated record. The transcript is spliced from 3 exons. Lineage: Eukaryota; Metazoa; Chordata; Mammalia; Rodentia; Cricetidae.